CGACUCAGGAACUCCACCAGGGCGAGAAUUAGAAGCGGAGCUGACAGGGGAGCGGUGGCCGUCAAUCCCGCGCCACGAGGACGCGAACCCCUGGUUGAACCAAAGCUGAUCAGAAGAAAGACUUACAAAAAGAAAUGAAAAGGCAGUGGAAGACGCAUCUCAACCUCUCCGGACAAGGGUGACAGAUUAAGGAAACUCUCCUAGCCUUAUUUGCAUUGGAGAUGAGACAGGGACACAUCUCCAUUAGCAUACAGAAUGGAGAACGGAGAUUCCAAGUGCUCUUUUGAAACUCAACCAUUUCCAUCACAAGUCUAUUGAUUUCUAACCACUGGAGAUCUGCGAUGCAGAGAUCUUCAGACUUGAUUGUGUGUGGCUGCCUGCUGUGUGGUGACAUAUUUCCAAGCAGUUGGACCUUUAG
Molecule: long non-coding RNA, 418 nt
Organism: Caretta caretta (loggerhead turtle)
Lineage: Eukaryota; Metazoa; Chordata; Testudines; Cheloniidae
Source: RefSeq, a predicted model, not a curated record